This 780-nucleotide ribosomal RNA is filed under the name Salmonella enterica subsp. enterica serovar Infantis. RNAcentral describes it as "partial 23S ribosomal RNA". It matches the Rfam family "Bacterial large subunit ribosomal RNA", at positions 2023 to 2802 of the family's 2925-position model. Lineage: Bacteria; Pseudomonadati; Pseudomonadota; Gammaproteobacteria; Enterobacterales; Enterobacteriaceae. The record is from RNAcentral.
CACCCGAGACUCAGUGAAAUUGAACUCGCUGUGAAGAUGCAGUGUACCCGCGGCAAGACGGAAAGACCCCGUGAACCUUUACUAUAGCUUGACACUGAACAUUGAGCCUUGAUGUGUAGGAUAGGUGGGAGGCUUUGAAGCGUGGACGCCAGUCUGCGUGGAGCCGACCUUGAAAUACCACCCUUUAAUGUUUGAUGUUCUAACGUGGAUCCGUAAUCCGGGUUGCGGACAGUGUCUGGUGGGUAGUUUGACUGGGGCGGUCUCCUCCUAAAGAGUAACGGAGGAGCACGAAGGUUGGCUAAUCCUGGUCGGACAUCAGGAGGUUAGUGCAAUGGCAUAAGCCAGCUUGACUGCGAGCGUGACGGCGCGAGCAGGUGCGAAAGCAGGUCAUAGUGAUCCGGUGGUUCUGAAUGGAAGGGCCAUCGCUCAACGGAUAAAAGGUACUCCGGGGAUAACAGGCUGAUACCGCCCAAGAGUUCAUAUCGACGGCGGUGUUUGGCACCUCGAUGUCGGCUCAUCACAUCCUGGGGCUGAAGUAGGUCCCAAGGGUAUGGCUGUUCGCCAUUUAAAGUGGUACGCGAGCUGGGUUUAGAACGUCGUGAGACAGUUCGGUCCCUAUCUGCCGUGGGCGCUGGAGAACUGAGGGGGGCUGCUCCUAGUACGAGAGGACCGGAGUGGACGCAUCACUGGUGUUCGGGUUGUCAUGCCAAUGGCACUGCCCGGUAGCUAAAUGCGGAAGAGAUAAGUGCUGAAAGCAUCUAAGCACGAAACUUGCCCCGA